CUGACACAGGUGGCUGCAUGGCUGUCGUCAGCUCGUGUCGUGAGAUGUUGGGUUAAGUCCGUAACGAGCGCAACCCUGUCCUUAGUUACCAGCACGUAUGGUGGGCACUCUAAGGAGACUGCCGGUGACAACCGGAGGAAGGUGGGGAGUGACGUCAAGUCAUCAUGGCCCUUACGGCCUGGGCUACACACGUGCUACAAUGGUCGGUACAAAGGGUUGCCAAGCCGCGAGGUGGAGCUAAUCCCAUAAAACCGAUCGUAGUCCGGAUCGCAGUCUGCAACUCGACUGCGUGAAGUCGGAAUCGCUAGUAAUCGUGAAUCAGAAUGUCACGGUGAAUACGUUCCCGGGCCUU
RNAcentral lists this ribosomal RNA (352 nucleotides) under uncultured Pseudomonas sp. Its description in RNAcentral is "bacterial SSU rRNA". It matches the Rfam family "Bacterial small subunit ribosomal RNA", at positions 1029 to 1382 of the family's 1533-position model. The record is from RNAcentral. Lineage: Bacteria; Pseudomonadati; Pseudomonadota; Gammaproteobacteria; Pseudomonadales; Pseudomonadaceae.